Molecule: ribosomal RNA, 155 nt
Filed under: Puccinia chrysanthemi
Lineage: Eukaryota; Fungi; Basidiomycota; Pucciniomycetes; Pucciniales; Pucciniaceae
Description: 5.8S ribosomal RNA
Rfam family: 5.8S ribosomal RNA
About the family: 5.8S ribosomal RNA (5.8S rRNA) is a component of the large subunit of the eukaryotic ribosome. It is transcribed by RNA polymerase I as part of the 45S precursor that also contains 18S and 28S rRNA.
Source: RNAcentral
AACUUUUAACAAUGGAUCUCUAGGCUCUCAUAUCGAUGAAGAACACAGUGAAAUGUGAUAAGUAAUGUGAAUUGCGGAAUUCAGUGAAUCAUUGAAUCUUUGAACGCACCUUGCACCUUUUGGUAUUCCAAAAGGUACACCUGUUUGAGUGUCAU